UACGGAGGAUGCAAGCGUUAUCCGGAAUGAUUGGGCGUAAAGCGUCCGCAGGUGGCUAUGUAAGUCUGCUGUUAAAGAGUGAGGCUCAACCUCAUAAGAGCAGUGGAAACUACAUAGCUAGAGUGCGUUCGGGGCAGAGGGAAUUCCUGGUGUAGCGGUGAAAUGCGUAGAUAUCAGGAAGAACACCGGUGGCGAAAGCGCUCUGCUAGGCCGCAACUGACACUGAGGGACGAAAGCGUGGGGAGCGAACAGG
This 253-nucleotide ribosomal RNA is filed under the name uncultured bacterium. RNAcentral describes it as "partial 16S ribosomal RNA". It matches the Rfam family "Bacterial small subunit ribosomal RNA", at positions 524 to 776 of the family's 1533-position model. The record is from RNAcentral.